GCUAGUUGUACGAGUUCAGACUCGUAGCAGAUAGCUCAGUAACACGUGGCCAAACUACCCUAUGGAUCCAGACAACCUCGGGAAACUGAGGCUAAUCUGGAAUAGGGCUCUCAUCCUGGAGUGGAGAGAGCCUGAAACGCUCCGGCGCUAUAGGAUGUGGCUGCGGCCGAUUAGGUAGACGGUGGGGUAACGGCCCACCGUGCCAGUAAUCGGUACGGGUUGUGAGAGCAAGAGCCCGGAGACGGUAUCUGAGACAAGAUACCGGGCCCUACGGGGCGCAGCAGGCGCGAAACCUUUACACUGCACGCCAGUGCGAUAAGGGGACUCCAAGUGCGAGGGCAUAUAGUCCUCGCUUUUUGCGACCGUAAGGUGGUCGCGGAAUAAGUGCUGGGCAAGACCGGUGCCAGCCGCCGCGGUAAUACCGGCAGCACGAGUGAUGACCGCUGUUAUUGGGCCUAAAGCGUCCGUAGCUGGCCGCGCAAGUCUAUCGGGAAAUCUCUCCGCUUAACGGAGAGGCGUCCGGUGGAAACUGUGUGGCUUGGGACCGGAAGACCAGAGGGGUACGUCUGGGGUAGGAGUGAAAUCCCGUAAUCCUGGACGGACCACCGGUGGCGAAAGCGCCUCUGGAAGACGGAUCCGACGGUGAGGGACGAAAGCUCGGGUCACGAACCGGAUUAGAUACCCGGGUAGUCCGAGCUGUAAACGAUGUCUGCUAGGUGUGACACAGGCUACGAGCCUGUGUUGUGCCGUAGGGAAGCCGUGAAGCAGACCGCCUGGGAAGUACGUCCGCAAGGAUGAAACUUAAAGGAAUUGGCGGGGGAGCACUACAACCGGAGGAGCCUGCGGUUUAAUUG
This 854-nucleotide ribosomal RNA is filed under the name Natrialba chahannaoensis. RNAcentral describes it as "bacterial SSU rRNA". It matches the Rfam family "Archaeal small subunit ribosomal RNA", at positions 53 to 908 of the family's 1478-position model. Lineage: Archaea; Methanobacteriati; Methanobacteriota; Halobacteria; Halobacteriales; Natrialbaceae. The record is from RNAcentral.